RNAcentral lists this ribosomal RNA (253 nucleotides) under uncultured bacterium. RNAcentral's name for it is "partial 16S ribosomal RNA". It matches the Rfam family "Bacterial small subunit ribosomal RNA", at positions 524 to 776 of the family's 1533-position model. The record is from RNAcentral.
UACGUAGGGUGCAAGCGUUGUCCGGAAUUAUUGGGCGUAAAGAGCUCGUAGGCGGUUUGUCGCGUCUGCUGUGAAAUCCCGAGGCUCAACCUCGGGCCUGCAGUGGGUACGGGCAGACUAGAGUGCGGUAGGGGAGAUUGGAAUUCCUGGUGUAGCGGUGGAAUGCGCAGAUAUCAGGAGGAACACCGAUGGCGAAGGCAGAUCUCUGGGCCGUAACUGACGCUGAGGAGCGAAAGCAUGGGGAGCGAACAGG